GGCGAGGUAGUUUAUUUAAGAAUUUCUAUUUUACACGUAGGAGGAGGGAUUUGGUCUUAUCGUCA
Molecule: transfer RNA, 65 nt
Filed under: Metorchis orientalis
Lineage: Eukaryota; Metazoa; Platyhelminthes; Trematoda; Opisthorchiida; Opisthorchiidae
Description: tRNA-Val
Source: RNAcentral